CUCGUUAAUAAAGAUAAAAAAAUCUUUGAAGAAAUUAUUAUACCAAUCUCUGGAGAAAUGCUUUGAAGCUGCCUUGGAGUAAGCUCUGAAAAAUUACUGAGGAAAUCAUUUGAGGUAUUUUUGGAUUGAUCUUUGAAGGAAUCAGGAAUUUCCGCGAGAUUUCUGGAAGAAUCCCAGAAGGGUUUUUUUUUCUGAAGAAUCUCACAACGAUUCUUGGAAGAUUUUCUGUUUUAUCAUAAAGAAAUUGCAAGAGGAAUACAAGAAUCAUUUCUGAAAUAAUUCUAAAAGGAUAUUUGGACGGAACAGCUCGAGAUAGAUUUAUAAAAGAACUACAGAGGGAUUUCUUGAUAAAUUUCAAAAAAAAAAAAUAUACAGAAUUCCUUGAGGGUUACCGGAAGAACUUCAGAGAUUUUUGGGAUAAUUCCAGAGGAAUUUACGGAUAAAUUUGAGGGGUCCCAGAAAAAAUCUCAGUGAGAUUUUCUGAAGAAUCUCAACGGGAUAUUCAGAAGAAUCCCAGAGAACUGUGGAAUUUCUUGAAGAAUCCUAAAGUGAUUCAAUUAUUAAUUCUAUAUUACCUUCCGAAAGAAUCCCAAAAAUAAAUGAAAGAAGAAUAGAAAAUAAUCAUUAAUGCAUAAACUUUACUUAUUCGAUCACUUUUUUUCAUAGUGUUCAAUCACCGUGCACGCGAGAAAUGAAUCUGGCCAUGGUGCAACAACCGCGCUACAUUCGAUGAAUCCUAUGCAACAAAAAUUGUCGUGACUAUCCGUCAAAUUCACUCAUCAAAACCAUUUUGAUGAAUAUAACAACACAGUUCAUAUGUUAACUAUGCGGUACACUGAAACUAAUGUUGCAGUAUUUGCAACCACUGCAUGGUUCUUAAAAUUACUAUUCAGAAUUAUGUUUAAAUUUAACGUGUUUGUCUUUACAAAUACUGCAAUAUUGUUAUAAUUACUAUGACAUCGAUCGAUAAAUUUUACUUUUACGAAGAGUCAAGAGCACUAUUGCCUUGCAUUGGAGAUAAAUACAAUAUCGUUAAUUUUGAAUGAGCAAUGUUGUCAUGUUUACCAUGUGCAUGGUAAUUUGAACAACAAAGCGUGAUGAUAAUGCCUCUAUCAACUUGGCUGUUUUUCUCCGUUAGCUUGCGAAGGAUUAACGUCAGUGCGGUCAUAGAAAGACUUAUUUUUAGUGUUUUGGCCAUAAUAAGUCCAAUGUAUUCAUAGUGACUACUCAACCCAUGCUGCUAUUAAUCCAGAGUUGAUCACAUCGUGCAAUUUCCAGACCCAAAUAAGUGAUCCAAAAUAUAAAGACUAGUUCAUUCUACUUUUAUUGAAAAUUUGAGCGAUGAGGAGUAGAUGCUGCAUGUGCCGCCAUGUUCCAAUCAGAGAUCGAUGAUGGCAAAUACGGGCAUAACAUUCUCUACAGGACACCACUACAGGCGCCGUUUAUAAAAUCCAAAAUUCAAGUUUGUUUAUGGACUAAAACAAUUAUCAUAUAAAUAAUUCUGCAAUAAAUAAUUAUGAUUUAUGUAAUUAAAUAGGUGUUUUUAAUAGGUUGGGAUGAAAAUAAGGAAUAUUCAAAUUAACUGUACGAUAGCUGGCUUUUUAAACGCAUCGCAUUGUAAAACAAAUUAUUAUGAAUUGUUCUCAAGAUUACCAUGUAGCAUGGUAAUUUUGACUGAACCGUCGAGUAUCGUCGGCAUGGUAAAAAAGACCGCACUUCCCGUUUGAAAUGAAUGUGUAACGUAGUCUGCACAAAUCAAGUGGUACAGCGCAUUUAAUUUAAACCAUCAACAUAGUAUUUUUUUACCGCAAUGCUGUUCUCAGUGUACACACAUUUCGACAAAUUACUCAAAUUUUGCAAAUUUGCCUUAUUAAAUGCAAGUAGUACUUUGAUUCGGCGG
This 1900-nucleotide long non-coding RNA is filed under the name Aedes aegypti (yellow fever mosquito). RNAcentral's name for it is "lncRNA AAEL025007". Lineage: Eukaryota; Metazoa; Arthropoda; Insecta; Diptera; Culicidae. The record is from RNAcentral.